CACGGAGGGUGCAAGCGUUAUUCGGAAUCACUGGGCGUAAAGCGCGCGUAGGCGGUCUCUUAAGUCAGAUGUGAAAGCCCGGGGCUCAACCCCGGAAGUGCAUUUGAAACUAAGGGACUUGAGUAUGGGAGAGGGAAGUGGAAUUCCUGGUGUAGCGGUGAAAUGCGUAGAUAUCAGGAGGAACACCGGUGGCGAUGGCGACUUCCUGGACCAAUACUGACGCUGAGGCGCGAAGGCGUGGGGAGCAAACAGG
This 253-nucleotide ribosomal RNA is filed under the name uncultured bacterium. RNAcentral's name for it is "partial 16S ribosomal RNA". It matches the Rfam family "Bacterial small subunit ribosomal RNA", at positions 524 to 776 of the family's 1533-position model. The record is from RNAcentral.